Molecule: ribosomal RNA, 273 nt
Filed under: uncultured bacterium
Lineage: Bacteria
Description: partial 16S ribosomal RNA
Rfam family: Bacterial small subunit ribosomal RNA
Source: RNAcentral
AACGAACGCUGGCGGCAGGCUUAACACAUGCAAGUCGAGCGCCCCGCAAGGGGAGCGGCAGACGGGUGAGUAACGCGUGGGAAUCUACCGAGCCCUAAGGAAUAACUCCGGGAAACUGGAACUAAUACCUUAUACGCCCUACGGGGAAAGAUUUAUCGGGUUUGAUGAGCCCGCGUUGGAUUAGCUAGUUGGUGGGUAAAGGCCUACCAAGGCGACGAUCCAUAGCUGGUCUGAGAGGAUGAUCAGCCACAUUGGGACUGAGACACGGCCCAA